CCUGAGAACCAUAUCACCCUGAACACACCUAAACUUGUCUGAUUUCAGAAGCUAAGCAGGAUUAGCCCUGUUGGGAUGGGAGACCAUCAUCCUGCAUGAAAACUGGAAAGCCACUGCCAGUU
RNAcentral lists this ribosomal RNA (122 nucleotides) under Pogona vitticeps (central bearded dragon). The record is from RNAcentral. Lineage: Eukaryota; Metazoa; Chordata; Lepidosauria; Squamata; Agamidae.